AAUAAACUGGUUCUUAAUUAAAAGAGAAAUGUAUAUACUUUCAAGUUACAAAGCUGUUUUGUGUUUUCACCUGACAACAAUUCUAUUAAUUUAAAAGUGAAUGAACACAGAUUGAUGAUGUCGUAUUAUACGCUUGCAAGUGAAUAAUUCAACGGUGAUGUUUCUGAGCUUAUUUUGACAAAAUUGCAUCUAACUGGCUGCUAUAAGGACUUACUAUUUCAUUCAUUUUUAUAAAUAAUUGAACAAAAAAACUAUAUUUUAUUUUUUUGUUAUAGCUUGU
RNAcentral lists this long non-coding RNA (280 nucleotides) under Mytilus galloprovincialis (Mediterranean mussel). Lineage: Eukaryota; Metazoa; Mollusca; Bivalvia; Mytilida; Mytilidae. The record is from RNAcentral.